Molecule: unclassified non-coding RNA, 199 nt
Filed under: uncultured Pseudotomentella
Lineage: Eukaryota; Fungi; Basidiomycota; Agaricomycetes; Thelephorales; Thelephoraceae
Description: sequence contains ITS2
Source: RNAcentral
AAUUCUCAACUGCUUCAAUUUGAAGUGAAGUUGGACUUUGGAGGAUAAUUGCUGGCGCAACUUUGUUGCUUGUCAGCUCCUCUUGAAUAAAUGAGCCUACCUUUCCAUGGCAAAGUAACGACCGAUGUGAUAAUUAUCUACGUUGGACGUGAAAGACCCUACAAGGAACAGGGGCGUGUUUUUGGGGAAGGCAUGACAA